RNAcentral lists this ribosomal RNA (398 nucleotides) under uncultured bacterium. RNAcentral's name for it is "bacterial SSU rRNA". It matches the Rfam family "Bacterial small subunit ribosomal RNA", at positions 361 to 776 of the family's 1533-position model. The record is from RNAcentral.
AUAUUGGACAAUGGGCGAAAGCCUGAUCCAGCAAUACCGCGUGAGUGAUGAAGGCCUUAGGGUUGUAAAACUCUUUCAGUAGGGAAGAUAAUGACGGUACCUACAGAAGAAGCACCGGCUAACUCCGUGCCAGCAGCCGCGGUAAUACGGAGGGUGCUAGCGUUGUUCGGAAUUACUGGGCGUAAAGAGUGCGUAGGCGGUUUAGUAAGUUGGGAGUGAAAUCCCGGGGCUCAACCUCGGAAUUGCUUUCAAAACUGCUAAGCUAGAGUAUGGUAGGGGCUAGUAGAAUUCCUAGUGUAGGGGUGAAAUCCGUAGAUAUUAGGAGGAAUACCAGAGGCGAAGGCGACUAGCUGGGCCAUUACUGACGCUAAGGUACGAAAGCGUGGGGAGCAAACAGG